GGCCAAGUGUCCUUGCUGUGGACUUGUAUCCAAAAAUCAAAAUAUCUAUUGAAAAAAGAAAAACCAUUGUAUUCUAAACCUGUGGUAACUUUGGCAAGUGAUGAAAACUGCCUAUGUAAGAGGUUGUUGACUGCUUUUCUAAACCAGAGUAAAAUUUUUGUCUGAAAUCUUGGUGGACAUAUCUUAGUUUGUAUGUCUGCUGUAAGGCCGGACAUAUACAGGGGGCGCUGUCAUUCCAUAUGGCUGACUCAAGACAUAGUCUGCUGUGGAUGAUGGAGCACAAAGUUGGGGUCAGGGAUUGUUAUGGGAUGCAUUGUGGGAAGGGUGUUAAUACAAGUAGUCAAUGGUCUAUGAGCUCUGUCUUUAGUAAUCUGAUGCCAA
RNAcentral lists this long non-coding RNA (381 nucleotides) under Mytilus galloprovincialis (Mediterranean mussel). The record is from RNAcentral. Lineage: Eukaryota; Metazoa; Mollusca; Bivalvia; Mytilida; Mytilidae.